CCGGGCCUCCGCUGACAGCCAGAGCGGACCCGAGCAGCAGGGCAGGCCUGGGCCCUACGCAGGUGUCCUGGGCUGGGAGGCAGCGCCUCCUCUCUCCCCUGCACCCCCGGCCAGGGCCCGGGAUCCUGCCUCGGCUGACCGGGGUCCAGCCCCGCACACCAAGGCCCUCCCCUCGCCCAGACCCACCGCGGGGGCGGCUUUCCGAGGGCGGCCCCGGGGCUGGGGUCCAAGGGGCCUCCGGCCGUCCUCCCGCAGGGCUCUCCCGGGGAGCCCCGGGCCCGCUGCCUCCCACCAGAGCCCUCACGGCCCGGCGAGGUCCGGGCCAAGGCGGCUGGCGUCGCACGAGGCGACCAAGUCCGGGGAGGCCCUGGGCCGAUGGCGGGGGGCUCACGUGGCUUCCUUGGGGUCCCUCAGCCCUAUCCUCUCGUCCCCAUCCGGACUCCCUUGGGCGGCCUGGGCCUCGGGCUCUGCCGCCUGACGCCGGCUCCUCGCGCGCAACCAGCUCUCAGUCGGGCUGGGACCCAGAGCCCGAGUCCGCCCACGCCGCACGCCCUGGUCACAGUCGUCGUGGUCGCGCCACCCUGCGGCCUCCACCGCCGCCCCCACCGCCGCACUCAUUCCCCUCUGGGUCCCGGCUCCCUCGCUCCUCCCUCUGGGCCUCACCUCGAAGCCCCACGAGGCUCUGCGCCCUUCCCGCGCCUGACGGGAUUCGAGGCGCGGCCGGAAGACGCCGACGCCCACGCCGACGCCCACGCCGACGCCGAGGCCCCCUCGCCACGCCCCGCCCCGCCAGUCUCUUGAGACCCGGAUACGGAAGUCCAGACACCCCGCGGGGCCUCAUUCCCACUAGGGGCUUCCCUAGGCUGCCGCUAGGGGUCGCCUUCCGGGCUGGGGCCUGCGUUCUGGGGGCCAGAGUCCCUCCCUCCGUGUUCCCUAGGUGGCCUCCUGUGCAUAUGGGUCUGGGAGUCCUCUCUGUGCUGACUUGAGGAUUCACACCUCAGAGGAAGCCAAACUGCCUUCCCAGUCCCCAGGUGGAAGUGACAAAUACUACAUUUGCCCAGACUGUCAUGGGGCUUCCAACAGCUGACAGCUAGGUUGGGUUUUUGUUGCUGGUGGAGGUCCCCUCUCUUCCGGAGUCCAGGGCCCCUUCAAG
RNAcentral lists this long non-coding RNA (1153 nucleotides) under Felis catus (domestic cat). RNAcentral describes it as "lncRNA (ENSFCAG00000050271.1)". Lineage: Eukaryota; Metazoa; Chordata; Mammalia; Carnivora; Felidae. The record is from RNAcentral.